Molecule: non-coding RNA, 148 nt
Filed under: Chlorocebus sabaeus (green monkey)
Lineage: Eukaryota; Metazoa; Chordata; Mammalia; Primates; Cercopithecidae
Source: Rfam by way of RNAcentral
GCUGGGCGUGGUGGCUCACGCCUGUAAUCCCAGCUACUCGGGAGGCUGAGGCAGCAGAAUAGCUUGAACCUGGGAGGCGGAGUUUGCAGUGAGCAGAGAUCACGCCACUGCACUCCAGCCUGGGUAACAGAGCUAGAAUCUGUCUCAG